This 409-nucleotide ribosomal RNA is filed under the name uncultured Pseudomonas sp. RNAcentral's name for it is "bacterial SSU rRNA". It matches the Rfam family "Bacterial small subunit ribosomal RNA", at positions 973 to 1382 of the family's 1533-position model. Lineage: Bacteria; Pseudomonadati; Pseudomonadota; Gammaproteobacteria; Pseudomonadales; Pseudomonadaceae. The record is from RNAcentral.
ACCAGGCCUUGACAUGCAGAGAACUUUCCAGAGAUGGAUUGGUGCCUUCGGGAACUCUGACACAGGUGCUGCAUGGCUGUCGUCAGCUCGUGCGUGAGAUGUUGGGUUAAGUCCCGUAACGAGCGCAACCCUUGUCCUUAGUUACCAGCACGUUAUGGUGGGCACUCUAAGGAGACUGCCGGUGACAAACCGGAGGAAGGUGGGGAUGACGUCAAGUCAUCAUGGCCCUUACGGCCUGGGCUACACACGUGCUACAAUGGCCGGUACAAAGGGUUGCCAAGCCGCGAGGUGGAGCUAAUCCCAUAAAACCGAUCGUAGUCCGGAUCGCAGUCUGCAACUCGACUGCGUGAAGUCGGAAUCGCUAGUAAUCGUGAAUCAGAAUGUCACGGUGAAUACGUUCCCGGGCCUU